GAUAGGGGAACACAGACUAAAACCGCUACAUCCUGUGGCAACAUCUCAACGUCUGCAUGACCUACAUCCUGUAGG
RNAcentral lists this small RNA (75 nucleotides) under Ornithinibacillus halophilus. Its description in RNAcentral is "Ornithinibacillus sp. G8B(2010) Bacillaceae-1 RNA". It matches the Rfam family "Bacillaceae-1 RNA". Lineage: Bacteria; Bacillati; Bacillota; Bacilli; Caryophanales; Bacillaceae. The record is from Rfam by way of RNAcentral.